GUCCCAGUAGCUCAGUGGUAGAGCAUUUGCUAAAUAUGAGGAGUUUGCUGAAAUAUGACCAAAAUGCCGGGGUUUGAAUCCCUGCUGGGUCU
Non-coding RNA from Lentinula aff. lateritia, 92 nucleotides. NCBI's taxonomy places the organism in Eukaryota, Fungi, Basidiomycota, Agaricomycetes, Agaricales, Omphalotaceae. The record is from the annotation of a GenBank genome assembly.